This 780-nucleotide long non-coding RNA is filed under the name Homo sapiens (human). Its description in RNAcentral is "HSALNT0031746". Lineage: Eukaryota; Metazoa; Chordata; Mammalia; Primates; Hominidae. The record is from RNAcentral.
UUAUCCCACCGAGGCCACCAUAGACCAGCCAGCCCUCAGCGUACAUGCCAGCUAAUUACAGAUGCAGGAGCAAACCCCUGGCCCAUACAUCAAUUUUAAUGUCAUUGAAUACAGAGAACAAAUCUCAUUCACUUUGGUAUCGGCUGGAGUCAACAAACAUUUAAAAAUCAUUUACUGCGUCUGAUUUUGGAUUUUGAGUCUUGCUCUAUGGCCCAGACUGGAGUGCAGUGGCGUGAUCUCAGCUCACUUCAACCUCCACCUCCCGGGUUCGAGAGAGAUUCUCCUGCCUCAUCCUCCCGAGUAGCUGGGAUCACCGGCGCCCACAACCACACCCGGCUAAUUUUUGUACUUUUAGUGGAGACAGGGUUUCACCAUGUUGGCUAGGCUGGUCACAAACUCCCGACCUCAGGUUAUCCAUCUGCCUUGGCCUCCCAAAGUGCUGGGAUUACAGGCGUGAGCCCCCGCACCUGGCCAAGAUCAGCUAGAUUUUGGAAGCAUUGCCUUCUACAGAAUCCACAGUAGUCCGAAGCUCUUCUACGGUUUUUGUCAAACUUUGAUUUUCCAUCUCUAGCUUCAAUAAUCUACUUGAUGUCAACUCAUUCACCUCAUGGCCCAGGGAUUUCUGGGGUGCUAUAAUAUUGAAAAAUACACCAUUGUAUUUACUCUUUACUGUUUUUACUAUGUUUACUCUUUACUAUUUAAAAAGUUGAGUGUAUAUGCAUUGCAUCAUCUGAUCCUUAACUUUAUUAAAAAUUCAAUGAGGUUAUAUAAGAUAAACAA